UACGGAGGAUGCGAGCGUUAUCCGGAUUUAUUGGGUUUAAAGGGUGCGUAGGCGGAUAGAUAAGUCAGUGGUGAAAACCUGCAGCUUAACUGUAGACUUGCCGUUGAUACUGUCAGUCUUGAGUAUGGUCAAGGUAGGCGGAAUGUGUAAUGUAGCGGUGAAAUGCUUAGAUAUUACACAGAACACCGAUUGCGAAGGCAGCUUACUGGGCCAUUACUGACGCUGAUGCACGAAAGCGUGGGGAUCGAACAGGAUUAGAAACCCUAGUAGUCC
RNAcentral lists this ribosomal RNA (273 nucleotides) under uncultured prokaryote. RNAcentral describes it as "partial 16S ribosomal RNA". It matches the Rfam family "Bacterial small subunit ribosomal RNA", at positions 524 to 796 of the family's 1533-position model. The record is from RNAcentral.